Molecule: ribosomal RNA, 301 nt
Filed under: uncultured bacterium
Lineage: Bacteria
Description: partial 16S ribosomal RNA
Rfam family: Bacterial small subunit ribosomal RNA
Source: RNAcentral
CAGUCGCCGCGGUAAUACAGAGGAUGCAAGCGUUAUCCGGAAUUACUGGGCGUAAAGCGCACGUAGGCGGCUUGGUAAGUUAGAGGUGAAAGCCCGGAGCUCAACUCCGGAAUUGCCUUUAAGACUGCCGAGCUAGUAGGUGAGAGAGGUAAGUGGAAUUCCGAGUGUAGAGGUGAAAUGCGUAGAUAUGCGGAGGAACACCGAUGGCGAAGGCAAUCCCCUGGACCUGUACUGACGCUCAUGCACGAAAGCGUGGUGAGCAAACAGGAUUAGAUACCCGCGUAGUCCCUGUCUCUUAUAC